RNAcentral lists this non-coding RNA (21 nucleotides) under Arabidopsis thaliana (thale cress). Lineage: Eukaryota; Viridiplantae; Streptophyta; Magnoliopsida; Brassicales; Brassicaceae. The record is from RNAcentral.
GUAAUGGUGAUCUCGAGCGAG